Molecule: long non-coding RNA, 775 nt
Organism: Cucurbita moschata (crookneck pumpkin)
Lineage: Eukaryota; Viridiplantae; Streptophyta; Magnoliopsida; Cucurbitales; Cucurbitaceae
Exons: 2
Source: RefSeq, a predicted model, not a curated record
UCCAUCAUCAAUUGAAUCGCCCAGAAGCAACUUCUUCGUCUAAGAGUUUGUUUGUUUGUUUCUCUACCGUUGAUUUUAUUUUGACUUUUGAAUUAGAAAAAUGCGAAAAGUUGCGGCGGUGAUGAGGAUCUGAGAUUGUCAUGCACCACUCUGAUGAUGCUUGCAUCAAUCUGUGCUGAUAAGUUUCUCAAUACCCAUUGAAUCUGAGCUUCUUCUUUCUCAAUUUCUCUCUGAUCCUCUCUUUGUCUGUGUUUCUAUCUGUUUGUUCUUGUAGUUUUCUGGUUAUCGAGUCGGACAUUUGAAGUUUUAGAUUCUAAUUUUGAUUUUGAUUUUCAAUGUGUUGGAGAUGAAAUUAAGGAACCAAAUGAUGGGCGUCUUCUUCGGAAGACGCAACCAUGAUGCGGACCGUACAGCGUUUAGCUACUGGGGAUUAAUUUUGGUUUCUCCUUAGAUUGAACCCACGGGAAGAUAAGCUUCAAUGAUAUAAGCAUAACCCAACCCUUGCCUCCAAUCGCUACAAGAAUGUGUGAACUUCCGCGAAUCUCAGAAUUUUCAGUCGAUAUGUUUAAUGUCUUUGUGCUUAAGAAGUAUAUGAUGGAUCUAUAGCAUGCGUGAGUUUGAAUGAAGGCUAUUAGAUUCUACAAUUUGAAAGGCUAUUAGAUUCUACAAUCUAUAGCAACGCAUCCUAUCCCUUUCAUUGGUUGUAUCAUUUAUUUACUACAUUAUGGUUCAUGUUUGUGUAAUGAACAUGUCAUUAUUUAGUUAAGGAGGUUCA